ACGGGGCCCGCACAAGCAGCGGAGCGUGUUGGUUUAAUUCGAUGCAACGCGAAGAACCUUACCAGGGCUUGACAUGCUUGAAGUAGAAACUCGAAAGAGGGACGACCUGUAUCCAAUCAGGAGCUUGCACAGGUGCUGCAUGGCUGUCGUCAGCUCGUGCCGUGAGGUGUUAGGUUAAGUCCUGCAACGAGCGCAACCCUCGUCGCUAGUUAAUUUUCUAGCGAUACUGCCCGUAUAACGCGGAGGAAGGUGGGGAUGACGUCAAGUCAGCAUGGCCCUUACGUCCUGGGCUACACACACGCUACAAUGGGUGAUACAAAAGGUUGCAAUAGAGUGAUCUGGAGCUAAUCCUGAAAAUCAUCCUCAGUUCGGAUUGUAGGCUGAAACUGCCUGCAUGAAGUUGGAGUUGCUAGUAACCGCAGGUCAGCACACUGCGGUGAAUACGUUCUCGGGCCUU
RNAcentral lists this ribosomal RNA (457 nucleotides) under uncultured Chloroflexota bacterium. RNAcentral's name for it is "bacterial SSU rRNA". It matches the Rfam family "Bacterial small subunit ribosomal RNA", at positions 916 to 1381 of the family's 1533-position model. The record is from RNAcentral. Lineage: Bacteria; Bacillati; Chloroflexota.